This is a long non-coding RNA of Heterocephalus glaber (naked mole-rat), 1851 nucleotides long. Lineage: Eukaryota; Metazoa; Chordata; Mammalia; Rodentia; Bathyergidae. The record is from Ensembl.
CGUGAAGAGAGCGGGCAUUUGUGUAACUGUGAUGCUUUGCUUGGAUCUUCCGGACAGGUGUGGAUGGCUUACCCGGAGACGUGGGACCUCCCGGAAGCCCAGGCCGCCCGGGAUUUAACGGCUUGCCUGGCAGCCCAGGUGUACCCGGCCAGAAGGUGGGUUCUGAGCACCCCAGCUGCUGCUUCCUCACCCCGGGAAUCCACAGGACCCCCGAAGUGUUGGUUACUUACCUGUGGGGACAGUCCGGGGCUGGGUAGAAAAGCCCAGAGCACUCAGCACCUGGCAGGACAGGUUGGAGGGAACUGGGGUUUGAUUUUAUGAAGCAUCUGCUUUGGUUCCUGCCGCAUCCUUGCGGGUGUGUCAUGGGUCUCAGCCAGAACCGCUGCUCACGGAGUAUUGAGUGAGCAGCUGUUUGAGAGCCGCUGUCGUAAAAGAUACUGCGUGGUUUCUCUUAGGCAAGAAACUCACAGCAUAAAUAAUUUAAAGAGCAAAAUGAAAGCAGAUGAUAGGAGACAGGGAAACUGACUUCGGAGCUGGGAAGGAGACCUGGGAGGGGAAGUGGAAAGGAUCAGAUGCGAUGCGUAUCGGUCCUGGUUCCGAGGUGAAUGGGCUCUUGUGUAUGGCAGACCACACGGGGGAGGGAAGAAGCCUCAGUGCCGGGGUCGGAGCACCCGAGCGAGAGCAGCAGGUGGCUGAGUCACGACCCAGAAGGGCUUCCAAGAAGCCCUUGGGCUCCUUCCCCUUCCUGGGUUCCUGCUGGGUGUGUGGAGACCCUGCUGGGCCACUGGGCCAGGCUCUCUUAGUCUGUCCGCUGUCACUCUCAGUGACCUCAGGCAGCGCUGCCACAUUCUGCCCUCCUGCUCCCUUCAGCGGCCCACAUCCCAGCUGGCAAUGAGGCAUUGCAAAUGUCCUGUGGUCCUACAGAAUGCUUCCUUAUUCGUACUGCCACGUCUGGCAAAGCCUCCUGGUUCAGGCAGGGCUUCUGCAUGUUGAGUUUGCUGCUGGAGCCUCUCAGUUACACAGAAAACUGAAGGAGUGCUGUCGGGUUCCAGCCACCAGCUGGUCCCACGGCCCAGGUGGGGUCUUGUCGGGUACGGGGCUGGCUUUUCAUCAUGAGCAAGGGCUGUAGAGGCAAAGGCCAAGCUGGGUCUUGAUUUCCUCCCUGGCAAAAUGAGAACAAUAAAAGUCCCCUGCAUCUGGGGCUUGCAGGGAGAGUGACAGGAAGUGAUAGUGUGAGGAGGUGCUGUAGGCUUUUAUUUUCUGGUUCUGUCCCUCACACUGAGCCACAUCCCUGGCCCUGCUCAGUUUUGUUCUUUAUUUUGAGGCAGGGUCUCACUAAGCCCCCCAGAGGGCUGGGAUUUUGGCUGUGCACCAGCAUACCUGACUUGAAGCUUGGCAAGUGCCCGAGAAGCUUGAACAUACGCUGUUCUUACCAACACACUGGCGGCAUCAGUUCCGGCUCCACGGAUGCUGUCAGUGUGGUGACAGCACUGGUGUAGCCCAUUAACUGCCUUCUGUUUGGGGUUUUCAGGGAGAGCCUGGAGUAGGUCUCCCUGGGCUUAAAGGACUGCCCGGCCUUCCUGGCAUCCCUGGCACCCCUGGAGAGAAGGGCAGCAUCGGGGGACCAGGCAUCCCUGGGGAACACGGAGCGCUUGGCCCCCCUGGGCUUCAGGGCAUCAGAGGUGACCCCGGACCUCCUGGAGCACAGGGCCCCGCAGGCCCACCGGGGCCACCGGGCCUCGGUCCCCCUGGAGCCAUGGGACCCCCCGGAGGACAGGGCCUACCAGGGUCGUCAGGUGAUGCGAUGCUCCAGGGCGCAGUGGGUGGGCAGCGAUGCUGCCAUGCACAGGG